AUUUUUGUCCGCUGGAAAAAGUCCGCUCGGCCGGGAAUCCAAUCCGGUCGUGUGUACGGGGCCUUAAACACUCCAUGUUGGGGUUCCUUCAAAUAAAGAAGAAAUAUACAGUACAAGCAUAUUGAAAUCGCAUCAGACCUGUGAUCCCAGGGCCAAGUAGUGGCUGGUGCUUCCAUAUCAGUCCUACUUUUGCUGCACUGACUUUACUUUGGAUCAAUUUAUGUUCCAUCUUGCUUCAAAGACCUCAUUAAGUAUAUGAAGGUUAUAUACAAAAAAAAAUACAUAUUUUAAAAUCUCUAUGUAUAAUUCAGACUUUUCAAAAAGACACACUGAGAAAAUUGUUAUUUUGUUAUAUAGUCUAGAAUGUAAAAAUAAAAAUUUAAUAGGAAACCUUAAUUUUGUCAUUUGUUUUUCUAAUCAGUUUGUGAUGUUAUAGCAAUAAAUGACACUAACAUAAAUUUUAAUUAAAAAAAAGAAAUGGAA
This is a long non-coding RNA of Rana temporaria (common frog), 483 nucleotides long. RefSeq lists it as uncharacterized. The transcript is spliced from 2 exons. NCBI's taxonomy places the organism in Eukaryota, Metazoa, Chordata, Amphibia, Anura, Ranidae. The record is from RefSeq and is a predicted model, not a curated record.